Molecule: long non-coding RNA, 427 nt
Filed under: Nicotiana benthamiana
Lineage: Eukaryota; Viridiplantae; Streptophyta; Magnoliopsida; Solanales; Solanaceae
Description: long non-coding RNA (NBEN_LNC036947)
Source: RNAcentral
GGUACUUCAUCUGAAUCUUUCCCUAAUUCAAUGAUCCAUUUGUAAAUCCAAGGAACAGAAAAAUCCAUAAAAAAAUUCAUAAUCGGAGUCUUUGGGUAUAAUCUGUCCUCUUUGUCAAAAUCCAUAAUCCUUGGCGAAAUCUCUACCCAUUGAUGAUAUAACUCUUCAAACUGUACUGGUAGUAUUCCUUGGGAAGGCCCGAAAAAGGACCACCAUUUAAUGAACCAACUUGGAAUCUGGGUACUUUUAAAAACUUGAGCACAAAUUUUUAUAAACCAAAAGUGCUUAUAUCAUUUUCAUAAAAUAAAGUCUUUGAAAAUCCAAUUCAAAAGAUUGCCAGUAUAUACAUCCAAUUCAAAAGAUAUCAAUUAAUUAUAAUUAUUGGGAUUAUGUGGAGGCAUUUUCAAAGACUUUAUUUUAUGAAAAU